GUGCUCUCUUUGGCAGCACACACACAGUACAGAGAUUAGCACGGCCCCUGCACACGGAUGACAUGCAAAGUCGUGAAGUGUUCCAUACUUAA
Molecule: small nuclear RNA, 92 nt
Filed under: Phascolarctos cinereus (koala)
Lineage: Eukaryota; Metazoa; Chordata; Mammalia; Diprotodontia; Phascolarctidae
Source: RNAcentral